GUAGGUGAACCUGCGGAAGGAUCAUUACCACAUCCAAAACUUUCCACCCACCGUGUGCACUGUUUCUUUUUCGUUGGUGCGCGUUUUUGGCUUCACGGCCUUGGCGCGCACAAACGAAAAACAAAGCAACCUCUUUUUGUUCACCCCCCCUUUUUCAAACCAAUUCAAACCAAACAAAACGAAACUUGAGAGACAACUUUUAACGAUGGAUCUCUUGGCUCGU
Molecule: unclassified non-coding RNA, 223 nt
Filed under: rhizosphere metagenome
Description: partial ribosomal RNA internal transcribed spacer region
Source: RNAcentral